RNAcentral lists this ribosomal RNA (114 nucleotides) under uncultured eukaryote. RNAcentral describes it as "partial small subunit ribosomal RNA". The record is from RNAcentral.
GGGGGGGGCUUAAAGUCGCCAAGCUAACCUUCGGGAGGGCGCCGACCACGGUGUGGUCAAUGACUGGGGUGAAGUCGUAACAAGGUAGCCGUAGGUGAACCUGCAGAAGGAUCA